RNAcentral lists this ribosomal RNA (506 nucleotides) under uncultured bacterium. RNAcentral describes it as "partial 16S ribosomal RNA". It matches the Rfam family "Bacterial small subunit ribosomal RNA", at positions 30 to 523 of the family's 1533-position model. The record is from RNAcentral.
AUUGAACGCUGGCGGCAGGCCUAACACAUGCAAGUCGAGCGGUAGCACAGGAGAGCUUGCUCUCCGGGUGACGAGCGGCGGACGGUUGAGUAAUGUCUGGGAAACUGCCUGAUGGAGGGGGAUAACUACUGGAAACGGUAGCUAAUACCGCAUAACGUCGCAAGACCAAAGAGGGGGACCUUCGGGCCUCUUGCCAUCAGAUGUGCCCAGAUGGGAUUAGCUAGGAGGUGGGGUAACGGCUCACCUAGGAGACGAUCCCUAGCUGGUCUGAGAGGAUGACCAGCCACACGGGAACUGAGACGUGGUCCAGACUCCUACGGGAGGCAGCAGUGGGGAAUAUUGCACAAUGGGCGCAAGCCUGAUGCAGCCAUGCCGCGUGUAUGAAGAAGGCCUUCGGGUUGUAAAGUACUUUCAGCGGGGAGGAAGGUGUUGUGGUUAAUAACCACAGCAAUUGACGUUACCCGCAGAAGAAGCACCGGCUAACUCCGUGCCAGCCGCCGCCGUAA